This 372-nucleotide ribosomal RNA is filed under the name Triticum aestivum (bread wheat). Its description in RNAcentral is "partial small subunit ribosomal RNA". Lineage: Eukaryota; Viridiplantae; Streptophyta; Magnoliopsida; Poales; Poaceae. The record is from RNAcentral.
AUGCCCGGAGAUCUUAGCCAGUGGAUAAUGAAGCAUUAUGACCCUGAGAUUUCGCAGAUAGUCAUUCCAGAAAGGGGGAAGAUUCAUGUAGAUGCCGCGAGUGUCCGUAGGAUAUGGGGUUUGCCAAAUAGGGGCAGGAAGGUGUGCUUUGACAAUCAGCCUAAAAUCACAAAGGCAAUAUACAAUAUUUACAACAUCACUUCCAAGAACUCCCCAACUCUCACAGAAUGGUGCAAGAUGAUCAUAGACAUGGGAGGAUCUUAUGAUGAUGACUUUGCCCGCGCUUGGCUAGCUCUUGUUUUUUCGUGCUUCCUUGCCCCUUCGGUCAUGGAUGUCAAUGGAAUAACGGAAACGGAAACCAAUAUAUGCUAG